RNAcentral lists this long non-coding RNA (248 nucleotides) under Setaria italica (foxtail millet). RNAcentral's name for it is "long non-coding RNA (SITA_LNC006821)". Lineage: Eukaryota; Viridiplantae; Streptophyta; Magnoliopsida; Poales; Poaceae. The record is from RNAcentral.
CAAGAGUACCCUCCCAUUACUCACAUAAUCCGAAAGCUUGCUUAAUCACAAGUAACAAACAUCAGGUGUAGAAUUAUAAGCAUCCAUCUUGCCAAAAGUGAGAAAGAUAACAAUAUCAUCCUUUAUCGAGUAGGUGCAUAUCUCUUCUUUGUUAUGCACAUGACUUCUCAUCUUUUAUCGAGUAGGUGCAUAUCUCCUCUUUGUGAUGCACAUGGUUUCUCCUCUUUUAUUGGGUAGGUGCAUAUCUC